CUGACGUUAGCGGCGGACGGGUGAGUAACACGUGGGUAACCUACCUAUAAGACUGGGAUAACUCCGGGAAACCGGGGCUAAUACCGGAUAACACAUGAAACCGCAUGGUUUCAUGAUGAAAGACGGUUUUGCUGUCACUUAUAGAUGUACCCGCGGCGUAUUAGCUAGUUGGUAAGGUAACGGCUUACCAAGGCAACGAUACGUAGCCGACCUGAGAGGGUGAUCGGCCACACUGGAACUGAGACACGGUCCAG
RNAcentral lists this ribosomal RNA (254 nucleotides) under uncultured Staphylococcus sp. Its description in RNAcentral is "partial 16S ribosomal RNA". It matches the Rfam family "Bacterial small subunit ribosomal RNA", at positions 86 to 334 of the family's 1533-position model. The record is from RNAcentral. Lineage: Bacteria; Bacillati; Bacillota; Bacilli; Caryophanales; Staphylococcaceae.